UCUCUGCUCCCUCCCAGACCAUCCGGUCGCGGGGCGGUGCAGUGCAGUGUAGCCGGGCGGCAGACGGACACAGGGGUGCCUGCGCUGCGCUGCGCUCCACUCCACCUACCCGGACCCGGACGCGGCUCUGAAGACACACUUGUAAACGGAACUAUGGAAAAACCAAAUAAAGCUGCUGAAUUUCCAAAUCCCACUUACCCUCCAGGUUAUGCAGGAAAUCAAGUUCCUUAUGGAUAUCCUCAGUACCCACCUCAAACUUUCCAAAAUGCUCCAGGACAAGCUAAUUAUGCCCUCCAGGGUUACCCAGGAGGAGCUCCAUAUGGACCUGGGGUCCCGCCAGUCCAAAAUCAGCCUUCUGGGCCCAGUGGGGCAGCUUGGAUGCAAGCACCUCCUCCCCCUCUCAACUGUCCACCUGGAUUAGAAUACCUAAGUCAGAUUGACCAGAUAUUAGUUCAUCAGCAGAUUGAGCUUCUGGAAGUUCUUACCGGUUUUGAAACUAACAAUAAAUAUGAAAUCAAAAAUAGCUUGGGGCAAAGAGUAUAUUUUGCAGCGGAGGAAAAUGACUGUUGUACUCGAAAUUGUUGUGGACCAUCACGACCUUUCACCAUUAGGAUCGUUGACAAUAUGGGUCAAGAAGUGAUAACCUUGCAGAGACCUCUCAGAUGCUCUUCAUGCUGUUGUCCUUGCUGCUUGCAAGAGCUUGAAGUUCAGUCCCCUCCAGGUACACCAGUUGGCUACAUAAAACAAAACUGGCACCCCUGUCUGCCUAAAUUUACUGUUCAAAAUGAAGCAAAAAUAGAUGUAUUUAAAAUCAUUGGCCCAUGCGUUGUAUGCAGCUGUUGUGCAGAUAUUAAUUUUGAGGUGAAGUCGAUGGAUGAAAGUUCUGUAGUCGGAAGAAUUUCUAAGCAGUGGUCUGGAUUUGUAAGAGAGGCAUUUACAGAUGCUGAUAAUUUUGGAAUCCAGUUUCCAAUGGAUCUUGAUGUUAAGAUGAAAGCUGUUAUGGUUGGUGCUUGCUUCCUCAUCUUUCUCUUUGGGAAGUUUAUCUACAUCUGUGACCGGAAGUGAAUUUUCUCCUUAGCCCAUUAUAUGUGGGGUCACAGUGCAACUUCCCUGGGCAGGAGAGGAGCCAGGAAGGAUUAGGGAACCUGGUUAUGAUGGACAUAAUGAAGGCACUGGUCACAGCUGCCCACUCUGGCUGAAGACCCCUCUGCUUCUAUCCCCACGCUAAAGAGAGAGGCAGGAUUGAAAAAGCUGAUAAAGGAUUUCAUGUUUUUUGAACAAACUGGGGACAAGAACCAGCGAGCAGGAGUGUGGCAGUAGAAUCUUCUGUUGGAUUUAAAACAUGCUUACAGAGAAAAGUUUCACGCUGCUUUGUGCUCUUUUUCUAAAAUACAUUACAAAAAUCCAGUAUAUAUAGAACAUCUGGAUCUUUUGCUUAUUGCUAGUUUCUUUUGUAACUUAGGGUUUCUAUUGCCCUAUUUUAUUGUUUUGAUAUUGCAAAUACAAUUCUAUACCUCUGAUAUAAAUAUAGAUUAAAUCCUGUAUAAAUAAUGUGAAAUGUUUGAAUCUUCCCUGACUGGAAUUUAAACUGCAAAAAUGAUUUCUUUAUUCUUGUGAGCACUUCAUAGAAGAUCUUUUAUAGUACAGAAACAUUGGGAGUAAUCCUCUGUCACUUGCACAAAACUACAGUUGAUCCUACAACAAGGGCAGAUUUUUUAAUAUUCAACAUUGGCAAUGUUUUAUUUUUAUUUUUUUAUAUAUAUAUAUAAAUAAUUAAAAAAUCAGUUCUCUGUAAUAUCUAUAUAUUGUAUAUUAAACACUGUAAUCCUAUAUUUUGUUUAAUUAUGAUAAAAUAGAUAUCCGCAUUCAUAUUUUGAUGUUUAUAAUCUAUGAUUUUAUAUAUAUAUAUGAAGAAAAGAACAUUAUAUGAGAGCAGAGGUAUAAAUGAAAAGUCUAUUUCUUCCACUAUCUUCAUCUGCAUCUCACAAUUCAGAUGCAAAGUUGCCCAACAGGAGUAGAGUGCCUCACUGUAAUUUAACUGUGUGCUGACUGUCUAGUGUCAUUGUGAUACUGGCAAACGUGAUUCCUAAAGACAUUGUAUACAGCUGGAAGUCUUUCAAAAUUAAGUUUACCCAAGCAAGAUUAAAGCAGAUGUAACCCCUGUUUAAAAAUAUCAUUUUCCCACUUACCUAGAACAUGAGGGAGAUUUUGGUGUUCUGGGUUAAAAUUUGUUACAGUUAUUGAUAGACCACUUUUUAACUAUUUUAAAAGUUGGAUCAUAUAGUGGCCUUUAAACUCAUCUUAUUUUGAUGAACUUUUGAUUCUUUGUAGUAUAAUGGAAACAUACGUGUCUGGCAGCUUGUACCUUUAGAGUGAAUCCUCCACUUUCAUUUGCACAAUAACUACAGUUGAUCCUAGGACCAAGGCAGAUAGGUAAACAUAUUUAGAGA
This is an RNA transcript of Chrysemys picta bellii (western painted turtle), 2450 nucleotides long. It is a transcript of the gene named phospholipid scramblase 1, with no coding region annotated. The record is from RefSeq and is a predicted model, not a curated record. NCBI's taxonomy places the organism in Eukaryota, Metazoa, Chordata, Testudines, Emydidae.